CAAGAACUCACACAACAGCUGUAUGAGUUAAGCUGAAAGCUUGUCACAUACCAAUAGUGCUGAUAUAGUUGUUCACAGAGAUAAAAAUUAUAUUUCUACGUGGUGCCAGGACAUAGUUUAUUGAAGACUCACUUCUUUCCAUGGAAAAGAUCAAACCAGGCUGUGAAUGCACAGAUACCUCACUCUGUGGUAGAGUAAGGAGAGAACCUGCCUGACAUCAGUGGAAUCUCGUGGCCAAACUCCCACUCAGAAGCAACUUUAAAGUAAGUUUCCGUCUUUUUUUUUUUGGAGAUAAGCACCCUGUCUUUUCUUAUACAAUCAGUUACGAGGAUGCAACCAAGAGGUUGUAGGUUCACAGCCACCCUUGUUGCUCUGUGUUCCAGGAGACUUUCGACAUGGUAACAGCUUCAAGGACAUCAGUCAUUCUUGAUGAAAGAGCACUGAACAUCAAGGCCUGAGUACAGAAAGCUGGACUUCUCCUCCUGUGCCUCUGACCCUCAUGCACCAAAGUCUUCCCUCUACCACCACCUACUUUAGCUCCCACACAAGAACAGAGCAUCCAGACCGAGUGGGAGAUAGGCAGAAGCUUGGAGGGAAAUAAUAUCUGCACUGACCCAAAGUCCAGAGGCAGAAACACUGGGCUGCAUUUACCUACUCAAGAGCCCAUGCCCUGAAGGUUGAGCUCAAGGACACACCCAGGCAAGUCGCUGAAGUUUUUCCUUUGCUCUGCCUGCUGAUCUCUGCUCUCUCCUCAUUACUCCCUAAAAAUGGAGCGAUCCACACGAGAAAUUUGCCUCAACUUCAUGAUUGUCCUGAUUACUGUAAUCCUCAUGUGGCUCCUUGUGAAGUCUUACCAGGACUGAAAGACAAUCAGAAACUUUGGGAGAUGAUUUAAGUGUGUGUCUCCAGAGAAAAGUAACAGCCACAGCACGCUGCGGUGAUUAGCUUUCAGCCAAUUGAGGAUGUCGUGAACCUUUUUUUUACUCUCUCCUGUCUGUUGCCUGUGUUAAUGUUUGUAACGGGUCUGUGAUUAUGUAGUCAUUUUAUUGUGUAGUGAUCCAGCUGUAAAAUGUAAGAUGCUUAGGCACUGUUCAACCUGUCUCUCUCCUCCGGUAGUUACUGUGAGUGCUGUAUCCCCCUGCCCACCAUGCAGGCUUGUUUGACACCAGUGUCAGGUUCUCGAGGGUGUAAAACUGCAGCAUGUAGUGAAAGUGCCUGUAUUUACCAGUGUAAGAGGCAUAAACUCGCUUAGCAGAAAGGAAUGUGAAACCUCUGCUUUCACUUGCACAUUUUGUUUAAAUAAAGUCCAUGUAAACCCAUUCUUUGGAGCA
This 1331-nucleotide long non-coding RNA is filed under the name Lepidothrix coronata (blue-crowned manakin). Its description in RNAcentral is "lncRNA (ENSLCOG00000012133.1)". Lineage: Eukaryota; Metazoa; Chordata; Aves; Passeriformes; Pipridae. The record is from RNAcentral.